GAUGAAGAACGCAGCGAAAUGCGAUAAGAAUGUGAAUUGCAGAAUUCAGUGAAUCAUCGAAUCUUUGAACGCACCUUGCGCUCCUUGGUAUUCCGAGUAGCAUGCCUGUUUGAGUGUCAUGAAAUUCUCAACCUUUUCAGCUUUCUUUGUUGAUCAGGCUUGGAUGUGGGAGUAUGCGGGCUUCUCAGAAGUCGGCUCUCCUGAAAUGCAUUAGCGGGACCUUUGUUGCCUGGCUUUGGUGUGAUAAUUAUCUACGCCAUUGUAGUCAAGCAGCUUAAAAUGAGGUUUCAGCUUCUAACCGUCUCCCCUGAGACAACUUUUUGACAAUUUGACCUCAAAUCAGGUAGGACUACCCGCUGAACUUAAGCAUAUCAAUAAGCGGAGGA
RNAcentral lists this unclassified non-coding RNA (386 nucleotides) under soil metagenome. RNAcentral's name for it is "partial contains 5.8S ribosomal RNA, internal transcribed spacer 2, and large subunit ribosomal RNA". The stretch from base 1 to 119 matches the Rfam family "5.8S ribosomal RNA", at positions 35 to 154 of the family's 154-position model. The record is from RNAcentral.